ACGGAAGGCAGCAGUGGGGAAUAUUGCACAAUGGGGGAAACCCUGAUGCAGCGACGCCGCGUGGGUGAUGAAGUAUUUCGGUACGUAAAACCCUAUUAGCAGGGAAGAUAAUGACGGUACCUGACUAAGAAGCUCCGGCUAAAUACGUGCCAGCAGCCGCGGUAAUACGUAUGGAGCAAGCGUUAUCCGGAUUUACUGGGUGUAAAGGGAGCGCGGUGGUUUUGUAAGUUGGAUGUGAAAGCCCGGGGCUCAACCUCGGGACUGCAUCCAAAACUACAUAACUAGAGUGUCGGAGGGGCAAGCGGAAUUCCUAGUGUAGCGGUGAAAUGCGUAGAUAUUAGGAGGAACACCGGUGGCGAAGGCGGCUUGCUGGACGAUAACUGACGCUGAGGCUCGAAAGCGUGGGGAGCAAACAGGAUUAGAUACCCUGGUA
This 433-nucleotide ribosomal RNA is filed under the name uncultured Lachnospiraceae bacterium. RNAcentral describes it as "partial 16S ribosomal RNA". It matches the Rfam family "Bacterial small subunit ribosomal RNA", at positions 341 to 792 of the family's 1533-position model. Lineage: Bacteria; Bacillati; Bacillota; Clostridia; Lachnospirales; Lachnospiraceae. The record is from RNAcentral.